RNAcentral lists this transfer RNA (72 nucleotides) under Camelus bactrianus (Bactrian camel). It matches the Rfam family "tRNA". From Rfam's summary of the family: Transfer RNA (tRNA) molecules are approximately 80 nucleotides in length. The record is from Rfam by way of RNAcentral. Lineage: Eukaryota; Metazoa; Chordata; Mammalia; Artiodactyla; Camelidae. RNAcentral also lists the same sequence under 2 other names.
GAGGGUAUAGCUCAGUGGCAGAGCACAUGCUUAGCAAGCACAAGGUCCUGGGUUCAAUCCUCAGUCCCCCCA